GAACCACACGGUCUGAUUUCCUCAGAUCUGAGGCUGAGUUUGCAGAGGCAGCAGUUAGAGGGGAAAUAAUUUUGACUUUUCCCUCAGCCAAUUUGAUCUGGAAAUUGUUGAGAGCAAAUAAAUAUGGAAUCCCACCGUGGAAUUUCUGCAGUCACUCUCCAGCUACAACCACUUCUCUUUUUUUCCUGAGCAUCAGUGAUUUGUAUUUGGCACAUGUAAAAAAUCAGCUAAUCCCCAAAGCCAUGCCUGACUGAUCAAUUACACAACUAAUACCUUUUCCAGAGGUCAUCUUAAGAGAUGAAUAAUCCCUUCCAAAAUUUCCCAACCUGCAGCACGGGGAGAUUUGUUAUUUGGCUUUCUGCAGCUUUCCUGGAAAGGUCAGAGUGCCCCAGCCCUGGGCUGGCAACAGGAACACACAGCAGUGGAUCCCAGACUGUUCUCCAGGUGACCAACGACCUUUAGCAGCAAAGGCUGUGCAAUACAGCUGCUCUCUUUUUUUUUUAUUUCCAAGAAAACAACUGUUAACUGACCCUGGACUUGUCCUCAUAGGUGAAGGUACCUGCACACACACGUCAGCCCAGCAGGUCUAUCCCAGCCUGGCUCCUCACUCUGCAAACAGCCCCAGUGCUCCUCAUGCCCCAAAGACUUUCCCAAACAGUAAUAAAAUGGGAGAGGCCAUGGGGCUUCCCACUCUAAACUCUGUUUUUUAAGCAGGAAAGUCUAGCAGGGCUCUCCACUCUCCACACAACAGCCAGGAAAGCCAUGGCACUGCCUCUUUUUUAGCUGAAGAUCAGGCAGCUCAGAGGUGGUGGGAAAGAAUGGACACCAGCUCGGAUUCCUGGCUGGAAUUCCUCAGACUGGAGGGUCCUGGAGAAAACAGAAAGCUCCGAGUCUCUAGGCUGGGCAUCACCUCUGGGCAUCUUUGGUCAUGCACCAGUUUUUCCUCCUGGCUUUCAUCUGGCAGACAGAUGGGGGAAAAAUAUCCACAAAUCCCAUCCACACCCAUCCUCCUGUUACAGAGGUGCUGACCUGUGAGAAUGGCCUGAGGGAAGGCAGAGAAAAGAACAAAACUUCCAGUGCAAGGACAGCUGGGGACUCGGACUGAAAGCUCUGGAGGAAGGAGGGAAAAGCAACUCAGAACAGCCAGCGCCGCCACCACCUGCCCUGCUGGCAUCUCACACCAUACUGCAAGCUGGGUUAUUCCCGGGUAUGUCGUGCCCCCCGGCACACCUUGGAGGUGGGAAUCUGCAGAGACCCAGGCACACGUGAGGGCUGGGCACUGGAACAUUCCAAACACCCUGCAACGGCUCGAUCCCGCCUGAGGAACCCAGCACCCCUGGGUGCGUUGUGUCUGAAUUUCACCAUCGGUGCAGCCUUUGUUUUAGUGCCUGACAAAGAUACAGGGAGGGGAGCUUUAAAAACUGUUUUUCAGAUGCAGGUUGGAGAGGAUGAAAGCCCUCGCUGUGUUAUUCCCUGACUUGAUCCUCUCUUCAAUCCAGGGCAGCGUCGUCACUGGAUGCCUGCACCUCUGCGAGAGCACAGACCCAGGAAAUUUAUACUCUGCUUAAUUAAAUCUGUGCCUUUUACUUAUUGGCACCUCUUCCGAGA
Molecule: long non-coding RNA, 1608 nt
Organism: Vidua chalybeata
Lineage: Eukaryota; Metazoa; Chordata; Aves; Passeriformes; Viduidae
Exons: 2
Source: RefSeq, a predicted model, not a curated record